Molecule: ribosomal RNA, 232 nt
Filed under: uncultured bacterium
Lineage: Bacteria
Description: partial 16S ribosomal RNA
Rfam family: Bacterial small subunit ribosomal RNA
Source: RNAcentral
GAUCAUGGCUCAGGAUGAACGCUAGCUACAGGCUCAACACAUGCAAGUCGAGGGGAAACGAUAUUGGAAGCUUGCUUCCGAUAGGCGUCGACCGGCGCACGGGUGAGUAACGCGUAUCCAGCCUGCCCACCACUUGGGGAUAACCUUGCGAAAGUAAGACUAAUACCCAAUGAUAUCUCUAGAAGACAUCUGAAAGGGAUUAAAGAUUUAUCGGUGAUGGAUGGGGAUGCGU